Protopterus annectens (West African lungfish) is the source of this 128-nucleotide small nucleolar RNA. RefSeq annotates it as small nucleolar RNA SNORA31. NCBI's taxonomy places the organism in Eukaryota, Metazoa, Chordata, Ceratodontiformes, Protopteridae. The transcript has a single exon. The record is from RefSeq and is a predicted model, not a curated record.
AUGCAUCAACUGAUAGACCUGAAGCUUUUGUUGCUUUAUGGUUUGCAAUGAGAUGCUAUAGCAAUUUCCUUGCGCUUUCUUCCUGCUUUGAUUUGUGGCACUGGAAGAUUGAAUAGAGGAAGACAAGU